CAGAGGGGGGAGGGGCGGUAGUUACAGUCGCACUAGCAGAGGAACAGAGCGGGAGGGAGAGACAGAAAGAGAGCCAGGGACAACAACGUCACAUUAAAAAGAGCUCAUUACGGGCUCCCGCCCUUGGCCCACACACCUGUGAUCCUCCACACCCGAAGCUCGUUGGCUGACGACUUUCCAGUGACUAUUUAAGAUGGCGUCUCAGUGUUUUUCUUUGCUGGACCAUUAUAGUCUGCUAUCUUUCUGAAGCCUUCCCCCGUGUGUUCUGGAUUGUCGCGAGUUUUUCGGAGUGGACAUUGUGUGGAUUGUUCAUUGUGGGACCUGUGUGGAGCGGGCAUGGAGUGUCUUGUCUUCUUCCCCUGCCCGCAGAGGGCAGGAGAAGAAGGGAGCUCAUUAUGGGCCCCUGCCCUUGACCUACCUACACACCUGUGAUUACAGUUCACCUGGUGUUUUUGUGUCUAAUAGACUUUGUACACAGAUUUCCUGAGUCCGCGUGUGAACCCAUUCUGUCAGCCCCACAAGCUGUAUAAUGUUAUAAUAUUUAUUAAAGCAUAUAUGCCGAAUUUGUUUUUCAGUUAAGUUAUUUUAGAUACUGAAUGAAUCAUUACAGUUCUAAAACACACUGUUGGAGUCAAAUUGUUGUCAUUAAACACAAACACUCAUUACAAUAAGUGUUUGUGUAAACUAAGUCAUAGAAUAAAAGUCUGCAGGGGAAGCUCUUUCUUCAAAGUAGUCUGAGACCGAGGGCAGCAUGUGAAAAACCGGUUAAAGCUGUUCGCC
Oreochromis aureus is the source of this 780-nucleotide long non-coding RNA. The record is from Ensembl. NCBI's taxonomy places the organism in Eukaryota, Metazoa, Chordata, Actinopteri, Cichliformes, Cichlidae.